RNAcentral lists this long non-coding RNA (507 nucleotides) under Vigna radiata. Its description in RNAcentral is "long non-coding RNA (VRAD_LNC000252)". Lineage: Eukaryota; Viridiplantae; Streptophyta; Magnoliopsida; Fabales; Fabaceae. The record is from RNAcentral.
GGGUUUGUUAACAGGUAUGCCUAUUUUUCAGUUGGUAGGUUUUAACAAUGUGUACCGCGGAUUAUAGUAGACAAAAAUACCCUCAUUUAUCAUGGAUUCUAAGUUUUAAGGUCAACGAUAUUUAAAUAAUUUUCAUUCUCAAAACUAAAAAAAAAAAAAGAAACCCCCCAAACCCUUACUCACCUCCCUCAUUCCUCUCAAGUCUUUCUCUUUCAUCUCUCUCACUCAAACAUUUUCUCUGUCAUCUCUCUCACUCCAACAUUUACUCUGUCAUUCCUACUGUUGCCCCUAUUAAAAAAAAAAUCAGAAACCCUUUGUCAUCAAAGAUAUUUUCUCUCUCAUCUCAACAUUUUCUCCGUCAUCACUCCAAAAUUUUUUUCCUCAUCUCAACCCAAUUGAAAAUGGUGGUAGUAAUUUGAAUCAGAGAUAUUUUUUAAAAAUUGAAAAAGUUUACUCUUUUAUAAUCAUUUUAUAUUUAUUAAUGUGUAUAAAAUGAAUAUAAACUUU